Molecule: long non-coding RNA, 321 nt
Organism: Prionailurus viverrinus (fishing cat)
Lineage: Eukaryota; Metazoa; Chordata; Mammalia; Carnivora; Felidae
Exons: 3
Source: RefSeq, a predicted model, not a curated record
CUUACACCCCGGCUUCGGGGAUCCGUUCUAGCCAGGACCACCCGGCCGGAAGCCGGGGAGCGGAAACCGGUAAAAGCCGCGCGGGCGCCCGGCCCUGACGAUGGAACACAGGACAAUGUGGUAGCGCUUCUCUGGGUCCCUGGAUCUGGACAACAGGUCCAGGACAGGGUGAGAGCCCUGGUCGGCCCGAGUGCGUGGGUCUGAGUAGAGGAAAGGAGCACAGAAUCCCCAGGAUCUGGAGCUCCUUAAAGGCAAGGCCUGUGUCUUGCUCACCAUCGUCCCCACUGCUGAGCCAGGUACACUCAGGAAACCUUCAGAUUA